UAAAAUUAUUUACUGCUGUUAUGAAUCAUA
Molecule: non-coding RNA, 30 nt
Filed under: Mus musculus (house mouse)
Lineage: Eukaryota; Metazoa; Chordata; Mammalia; Rodentia; Muridae
Source: RNAcentral